Molecule: long non-coding RNA, 398 nt
Organism: Macadamia integrifolia
Lineage: Eukaryota; Viridiplantae; Streptophyta; Magnoliopsida; Proteales; Proteaceae
Exons: 3
Source: RefSeq, a predicted model, not a curated record
GGAAGAAGCAAAUAAAUGGUUAGAAGAGCUUGGGCGGAGACGCUUCAGCCAAGAUAUCCAAUACACAUCGCUUAAAGGUCUCUAGAUCGUGCAAGCCCAGAAGGAUUCUUUACUCCUCAAUCACAUCCUUCACAAAGAAUUUGCAGAUAGAACAGGGAAUUGCCAUGUGGGAGCGAUAGCUUGCAUAAUCGAUGCAGUUGGGGCGGCAGCUAUAGCUACUUACACAGGCGACCUCAAAGUCUCUGUUGAUUUCAACAUUUCUUACUUCUCAACUGUUAAAAUCGAGGAAGAGGUGGAGAUUGAAGCUAAGGUAGUAGCACACAGAGGGAAGCUUUCAUUGACGACAGUGGAGUUUCGGAGGAAGAAGGAUGGAGUGGUGGUUGCUUUGGGUAAGCAAU